CGGGACGGGGUGGAGUAAUGUCUGGGAAACUGCCUGAUGGAGGGGGGUAACUACUGGAAACGGUAGCUAAUACCGCAUAACGUCGCAAGACCAAGAGGGGACCUUCGGGCCUCUUGCCAUCGGAUGUGCCCAGAUGGGAUUAGCUAGUAGGUGGGGUAACGGCUCACCUAGGCGACGAUCCCUAGCUGGUCUGAGAGGAUGGCCAGCCACACUGGAACUGAGACACGGUCCAG
This 233-nucleotide ribosomal RNA is filed under the name uncultured bacterium. RNAcentral's name for it is "partial 16S ribosomal RNA". It matches the Rfam family "Bacterial small subunit ribosomal RNA", at positions 104 to 334 of the family's 1533-position model. The record is from RNAcentral.